ACAAGUAGAGUGCAAAUUUUACUCUGGGGACUCUUAUUAUUAACCCACAGACUGCACAUUUAGGCUCCAAUGCUGGUUGGGUAGAUUAGUAACAAAGUUGAUUUUUCUUACCCUCUUUCAAGAUUCAAAUCCAAACGCUGUCCAGCAGUUACUUUAUCAAUUUCAUACCUGUAGAGAGAGAAAAUUCUUAAACAUGAGCAUCAACAUAAAAAAAAUCGUGUAUCUAGCAGAAAACAACUUCUAGCACAGACCUCAGUUCACUGCGCAUUUUAUCUAUGUCACCUCGUAAUUUUUCAGUCUCACGUUGCAACAAAGAAAAAUGAUGCUCCUGCAUUAUGGAUAGUUCUUCAGAAAAAAUCAACACAACAAACACUAGGGUUAACUACACUAAAACCAUCUAGUUCUCCUAUUCCAAGGAAAUACUAAACACAGAUCAGUAAUAAUUCUAUUUUAUGCUUCUAAUUGCUUAGAGAAGCACGGAAAUAUAUUUAUAUAAAACUGAAGCAAGAGUUCAAGCAUAGCAGCCCUGUCAUUUACAUUCUCUACAAAAGACAUUCCAAACUAAAAAAAUUCUUAAAGUAAUAAAAAUAGAAUUCUAGAAAGCUAACAUGUAGAAAUGCUUUUAAGAGGGUACAAAAAUCCCACCUAUCUAACCAAAUUUGUAAUGUGAAUGCAUAGCUUAAAGGAAACACCAUCAACGCUCUUAGUGAAACAUUUGAUACCACAUAUGGAGUGGCUGAUAAACAAUAGAACAUGAACAUAUGCUUAAUUUAUAACGAGCCACACCUCACUCCUCCCUCAUUCAGUGACCAAUCCACAGGCUUCUGAAAGGCUAAAAAAGUUCUUCCAUUGUAACCUCUCUAAGUUAUAAACAGUCAAUGACUCAAUUCUACCUUUGACAACCUCCAAAUUCUACCCAUCAAACCAUUUAAAUUAUUUAACUAUUUUUUUCUAAGUUUAAACUUGAUUUUGAGAAAUCAUUUGAAGACUAAACUGUAUAUGAUAGAAAAAUACAAUGACCAAAAUAACUUUCAAUUGAGAACUUAUAAGUAAAAAUGAAUAUAGGGACCAAAAUAAUAUUUUAAAAAAACAUAAAAAACAAAAUGUACAUUAGCAAAAAAAUCCAUGGUGAUAAGUGUCUAUUUCAUAUGGUGUUAGUUAAUGAUGUAAAAAUUACGAAAGUAUAAAUUAACUGAGUAAUAUUUUUUUAAAAAAAGAGUAAAUAUGUCUUUUAAAUACAAAUUAGUACAGGGAUGUACAGAAAUGUUAGCCCUAAAAAACAUCCAGGUAUUUUCAAGAUCACAUAAUUAAGUCCACGAACCCAUUAAAAACAACUGUAUUGCACAGGUAAAAGGAUAAAAGAAUUAACACUCCAAUAACAUCCUAAACCCUAAAAAAUCCUAGAAAACAGACAAUUAUACGUGAUAGAAAUAAAUCAAAUUCACAGCACCUGAGAACUCUGUACUUCAGACUUAAACUUGGACAGAUUUGAGUCUUGAAUCAUUUCACUCUACAAAAUUUCCAAAAAUAAAGCAAACAUCAAUCUUUUUUUCAAAAACGGUACAAACACGAACACUUUUUUUUAAGCGCAGGAAGGACAAAUCAAAGUCGGAAAAAAAAUGACUACCUUCUGCAUUUCUGCCUUAGAAACAAAUGAAUUAGCGACAUUCUCCAAACUAUCAUUCAACACUUCAGUAAUCGCAGCCGUAAUCGCCUCCGCUUGCUUCGACGGCACGCCUUGCGCUUCCAAUCCUCUCACCUUCAAGAGAGAGAGAAAUCAGUUAUUUUCCACUUAAUUGGACAGAAACUUCGAAAUAGAAACAGAAAUUAAAUUAACUUUACCAGUGCUAAAGUAUCAACGAGAAAUGCGCGUUUAUUGUUGUUAGGUCUAACGAGCUGCGAAAUAUGCCGGUAAUCAAAUCUGUUACCAAAUGAACUAGAAGAUGAUGGGUUAAUCGCUCGAGAUUUUGCAAAGAAAAUCGCAGAAUUAACGCCUGAUCUAACCACUCGACUGCAAAGAGCCAUAAAAAAUUCUGUUGAGAAAAAAAAGAGGGCUAAACUAAUCCGUACAAAAAGGGAUUAAAGUUUGUGCAUUUUUGUAUUAAAGGAGAGUGAUUUAGGGAAAUGAAAAAUUUAGGGAGAGGGAGGCGGGAAUUGGAUGUAGUUCUUGUUUGGGUAAAAAGAAAUGAAAAGAGAGGCACUUGGUUUUGUUUAUUUAUGUUCGAGUGUUGGUUGCUGGCUUGCUGAGAACGCUUUCUGUGCUUGCGUGAUGUGUUUUUUGUUUCC
RNAcentral lists this long non-coding RNA (2286 nucleotides) under Populus tomentosa. Its description in RNAcentral is "NERDL". The record is from RNAcentral. Lineage: Eukaryota; Viridiplantae; Streptophyta; Magnoliopsida; Malpighiales; Salicaceae.